RNAcentral lists this ribosomal RNA (233 nucleotides) under uncultured bacterium. RNAcentral describes it as "partial 16S ribosomal RNA". It matches the Rfam family "Bacterial small subunit ribosomal RNA", at positions 524 to 754 of the family's 1533-position model. The record is from RNAcentral.
GACAGAGGGUGCAAACGUUGUUCGGAAUUACUGGGCGUAAAGCGCGUGUAGGUGGCGAGGCAAGUCGGGUGUGAAAGCCCUGGGCUCAACCCAGGAAGUGCACUCGAUACUGCCUAGCUAGAGUCCCGGAGAGGUUGGGUGGAACUCUCGGGUGUAGAGGUGAAAUUCGUAGAUAUCGAGAAGAACACCGGUGGCGAAGGCGGCCAACUGGACGGUGACUGACACUGAGACGC